UGGGGGUUCGUCUAAUGGUAGGACACCAGACUCUGAAUCUGUUGAUGGAGGUUCGAAUCCUUCACCCCCAG
Molecule: transfer RNA, 71 nt
Filed under: Candidatus Brevifilum fermentans
Lineage: Bacteria; Bacillati; Chloroflexota; Anaerolineae; Anaerolineales; Anaerolineaceae
Also listed under: 3 other names
Description: Brevefilum fermentans tRNA
Rfam family: tRNA
About the family: Transfer RNA (tRNA) molecules are approximately 80 nucleotides in length. Their secondary structure includes four short double-helical elements and three loops (D, anti-codon, and T loops). Further hydrogen bonds mediate the characteristic L-shaped molecular structure. tRNAs have two regions of fundamental functional importance: the anti-codon, which is responsible for specific mRNA codon recognition, and the 3' end, to which the tRNAs corresponding amino acid is attached (by aminoacyl-tRNA synthetases). tRNAs cope with the degeneracy of the genetic code in two manners: having more than one tRNA (with a specific anti-codon) for a particular amino acid; and 'wobble' base-pairing, i.e. permitting non-standard base-pairing at the 3rd anti-codon position.
Source: Rfam by way of RNAcentral